Long non-coding RNA from Anopheles merus, 137 nucleotides. RefSeq lists it as uncharacterized. The record is from RefSeq and is a predicted model, not a curated record. Lineage: Eukaryota; Metazoa; Arthropoda; Insecta; Diptera; Culicidae. The transcript has 3 exons.
ACCAGUACGGAAAAACUAUUUGAAAUCGUAACACACGCACGAACGGAAGUGAGCACGGACCACGACAGAAGCAAUAUUCAAUUGGUUGGAGUGCCGAAAACAGAACAGGAGAGGAAAGAAGGCAGGAACGAUCCGAU